UGGGGAAUAUUGGACAAUGGGGGGAACCCUGAUCCAGCCAUGCCGCGUGUGUGAAGAAGGCCUUUUGGUUGUAAAGCACUUUAAGCGAGGAGGAGGCUCUCUUGGUUAAUACCUGAGAAGAGUGGACGUUACUCGCAGAAUAAGCACCGGCUAACUCUGUGCCAGCAGCCGCGGUAAUACAGAGGGUGCGAGCGUUAAUCGGAUUUACUGGGCGUAAAGCGCGCGUAGGUGGCUAAUUAAGUCAAAUGUGAAAUCCCCGAGCUUAACUUGGGAAUUGCAUUCGAUACUGGUUAGCUAGAGUAUGGGAGAGGAUGGUAGAAUUCCAGGUGUAGCGGUGAAAUGCGUAGAGAUCUGGAGGAAUACCGAUGGCGAAGGCAGCCAUCUGGCCUAAUACUGACACUGAGGUGCGAAAGCAUGGGGAGCAAACAGGAUUAGAUACCCUGGUAGUCCAUGCCGUAAACGAUGUCUACUAGCCGUUGGGGGAUUUGAUCCUUUAGUGGCGCAGCUAACGCGAUAAGUAGACCGCCUGGGGAGUACGGUCGCAAGACUAAAACUCAAAGGAAUUGACGGAUGCUAGACG
Molecule: ribosomal RNA, 580 nt
Filed under: uncultured Acinetobacter sp.
Lineage: Bacteria; Pseudomonadati; Pseudomonadota; Gammaproteobacteria; Moraxellales; Moraxellaceae
Description: bacterial SSU rRNA
Rfam family: Bacterial small subunit ribosomal RNA
Source: RNAcentral